CCUACGGGUGGCAGCAGUGGGGAAUAUUGGACAAUGGGCGAAAGCCUGAUCCAGCCAUGCCGCGUGUGUGAAGAAGGCCUUCGGGUUGUAAAGCACUUUCAGUGGGGAAGAAAGCCUUGGGGCUAAUACCCUCGAGGAAGGACAUCACCCACAGAAGAAGCACCGGCUAACUCCGUGCCAGCAGCCGCGGUAAUACGGAGGGUGCGAGCGUUAAUCGGAAUUACUGGGCGUAAAGCGCGCGUAGGCGGUCUGAUAAGCCGGUUGUGAAAGCCCCGGGCUCAACCUGGGAACGGCAUCCGGAACUGUCAGGCUAGAGUGCAGGAGAGGAAGGUAGAAUUCCCGGUGUAGCGGUGAAAUGCGUAGAGAUCGGGAGGAAUACCAGUGGCGAAGGCGGCCUUCUGGACUGACACUGACGCUGAGGUGCGAAAGCGUGGGUAGCAAACAGGAUUAAUACCCCAUAGUC
RNAcentral lists this ribosomal RNA (463 nucleotides) under Vreelandella stevensii. RNAcentral describes it as "partial 16S ribosomal RNA". It matches the Rfam family "Bacterial small subunit ribosomal RNA", at positions 338 to 795 of the family's 1533-position model. Lineage: Bacteria; Pseudomonadati; Pseudomonadota; Gammaproteobacteria; Oceanospirillales; Halomonadaceae. The record is from RNAcentral.